This 238-nucleotide long non-coding RNA is filed under the name Vigna radiata. Its description in RNAcentral is "long non-coding RNA (VRAD_LNC001077)". The record is from RNAcentral. Lineage: Eukaryota; Viridiplantae; Streptophyta; Magnoliopsida; Fabales; Fabaceae.
AAUGAGCGAUUCGUGGUUGCAAGAAAUUAUCAGAACUCCCACUAUCCAACAAUAUCUGAAUAGUCAUGCCGUUUAAUGAUCCCUGGAAUCUCAUAGUUCCCACACCAGCAGCACCCUUUAAGGCAUUAAGAGAAAGAUGGUGUUCGAGGUGUUGUUCUAAGGCCGGAAUGUCGGUAUUAGUCUGCUCCUCCUCCUUUUCAUAUUCAACUUGGAGGAAGGUAUAUUGACGAUUCGGGCA